GCUUGAUUGCAAGACAUACAGGUCGAGCAAGGAUGAAAAUCGGACUUAGUGAUCCGGUGGUUCUGCGUGGAAGGGCCAUCGCUCAACGGAUAAAAGCUACCCGGGGGAUAACAGGCUUAUCUCCCCCAAGAGUCCACAUCGACGGGGAGGUUUGGCACCUCGAUGUCGGCUCAUCACAUCCUGGGGCUGUAGUAGGUCCCAAGGGUUGGGCUGUUCGCCCAUUAAAGUGG
RNAcentral lists this ribosomal RNA (230 nucleotides) under Clostridioides difficile. RNAcentral's name for it is "partial 23S ribosomal RNA". It matches the Rfam family "Bacterial large subunit ribosomal RNA", at positions 2367 to 2596 of the family's 2925-position model. Lineage: Bacteria; Bacillati; Bacillota; Clostridia; Peptostreptococcales; Peptostreptococcaceae. The record is from RNAcentral.